This 444-nucleotide ribosomal RNA is filed under the name Streptococcus uberis. Its description in RNAcentral is "bacterial SSU rRNA". It matches the Rfam family "Bacterial small subunit ribosomal RNA", at positions 21 to 455 of the family's 1533-position model. The record is from RNAcentral. Lineage: Bacteria; Bacillati; Bacillota; Bacilli; Lactobacillales; Streptococcaceae.
GGCUCAGGACGAACGCUGGCGGCGUGCCUAAUACAUGCAAGUAGAACGCUGAGGACUGGUGCUUGCACUGGUCUAAGGAGUUGCGAACGGGUGAGUAACGCGUAGGUAACCUACCUCAUAGCGGGGGAUAACUAUUGGAAACGAUAGCUAAUACCGCAUGACAAUAGGGUACACAUGUACCCUAUUUAAAAGGGGCAAAUGCUUCACUAUGAGAUGGACCUGCGUUGUAUUAGCUAGUUGGUAAGGUAACGGCUUACCAAGGCGACGAUACAUAGCCGACCUGAGAGGGUGAUCGGCCACACUGGGACUGAGACACGGCCCAGACUCCUACGGGAGGCAGCAGUAGGGAAUCUUCGGCAAUGGGGGGAACCCUGACCGAGCAACGCCGCGUGAGUGAAGAAGGUUUUCGGAUCGUAAAGCUCUGUUGUUAGAGAAGAACGGUAA